AUCCAGAUGAAGAGUCCCGGAUAGGACGAAACGCGCAUCCUGGAU
RNAcentral lists this non-coding RNA (45 nucleotides) under Trichobilharzia regenti. Lineage: Eukaryota; Metazoa; Platyhelminthes; Trematoda; Strigeidida; Schistosomatidae. The record is from RNAcentral.